RNAcentral lists this ribosomal RNA (370 nucleotides) under uncultured bacterium. RNAcentral describes it as "bacterial SSU rRNA". It matches the Rfam family "Bacterial small subunit ribosomal RNA", at positions 775 to 1145 of the family's 1533-position model. The record is from RNAcentral.
GGAUUAGAUACCCUGGUAGUCCAUGCCGUAAACGUUGGGCGCUAGAUGUAGGGACCAUUCCACGGUUUCUGUGUCGCAGCUAACGCAUUAAGCGCCCCGCCUGGGGAGUACGGCCGCAAGGCUAAAACUCAAAGGAAUUGACGGGGGCCCGCACAAGCGGCGGAGCAUGCGGAUUAAUUCGAUGCAACGCGAAGAACCUUACCAAGGCUUGACAUAUACCGGAAAAGUGCAGAAAUGUACUCCCCGCAAGGUCGGUAUACAGGUGGUGCAUGGUUGUCGUCAGCUCGUGUCGUGAGAUGUUGGGUUAAGUCCCGCAACGAGCGCAACCCUCGUUCUUUGUUGCCAGCACGUAAUGGUGGGAACUCAAAGG